CAUCAUGUUGACCAGGAUGGUCUCGAUCUCUUGACCUCGUGAUCCACCCGCCUCGGCCUCCCAAAGUGCUGGGAUUACAGGCUUGAGCCACCGCGCCCGGCAGGACUGAACUUUUAUUUAAUUCCAAGGUGUGUUUCAGUUGUGAACAAAAGCAGGAGUUCCCUGGAGCUUUAAGUAGCUAAACUAAAACAGUGAAGCCUCUAGCAGCCACCAGUGACUAUUUUGAUUUGUACAGAAUAGACUGUUAAUACAUGAUUUAGUUAACGUUACCUAAAUUGUUUGCAACUCCUUUUUGACAGGAUUACUUACUCUUAGUUGACUGUUUCAUUACCCGAUAACAUAUAUUACCAAGGAACAGAAAUUUUAGAUUAUUUCUUAUUAUUCAAAAAUGAAACAGAUUCUAAAUUGAAGUAGUCCCUGAGAAUUUCCUUGGUGAUGAAAGGAAUGAUCAUUUUUAGACUUCACAGGGACUUAAUUGAAGUUUGGUGUGGCCACUUUCCACUUGAAUUUUUCACUGUUAUACUGAUAAAAUUUUUUUGCCUGUCAAGAUAUUUUACAGCAUGUGAUCCUCCCUCUGUAAACUUCAUAUAUACGGCAUCAGGACAGUAAGAACAUCAAAUCAGUUAGACCUCUCCCAAGCCAAUACAUAUUUGAAGAAAUACAUACUGGGUUCCUUUUUCAGUGCAGUGUUGUUAGUGGGAAAAAAACAUAGAAGUAUAUAAAAAAGGAAACUGAGAAAAGAUACAUUCUA
Sapajus apella (tufted capuchin) is the source of this 751-nucleotide long non-coding RNA. RefSeq lists it as uncharacterized. NCBI's taxonomy places the organism in Eukaryota, Metazoa, Chordata, Mammalia, Primates, Cebidae. The record is from RefSeq and is a predicted model, not a curated record. The transcript is spliced from 3 exons.